AUUGAACGCUGGCGGCAUGCUUUACACAUGCAAGUCGAACGGCAGCGCAGUCUGCGGCUUGGCGGACAGUGGCCGACGGGCGGGCAGUGCAUCGGAACAUCGCCAGCUGCGGUGGCGAGCGCGGUGACGGCCGGAUUCUUACGCCAAUAGCCCUGACGACGUACGGGGGGGAGCGAGAGGUCUUCCGCCCUUGCGCCGGCCGAUGUGCGGAUGUCGGAUUAGCUAGUUGGCGGGGUAAAGGCCUACCAAGGCGACGAUCCGUAGCUGGUCUGAGAGGACGACCAGCCACACUGGGACUGAGACACGGUCCAGACUCCUACGGGAGGCAGCAGUGGGGAAUAUUGGACAAUGGGGGCAACCCUGAUCCAGCCAUGCCGCGUGCGGGAAGAAGGCCUUCGGGUUGUAAACCGCUUUUGUUCGGGAAGAAAACCUGUGGGCUAAUACCCCGGGGGGAUGACGGUACCGGAAGAAUAAGCACCGGCUAACUACGUG
This 492-nucleotide ribosomal RNA is filed under the name uncultured bacterium. RNAcentral's name for it is "partial 16S ribosomal RNA". It matches the Rfam family "Bacterial small subunit ribosomal RNA", at positions 28 to 507 of the family's 1533-position model. The record is from RNAcentral.